Molecule: ribosomal RNA, 494 nt
Filed under: uncultured bacterium
Lineage: Bacteria
Description: partial 16S ribosomal RNA
Rfam family: Bacterial small subunit ribosomal RNA
Source: RNAcentral
GACGAACGCUGGCGGCGUGCCUAAUACAUGCAAGUAGAACGCUGAAGGAGGAGCUUGCUUCUCUGGAUGAGUUGCGAACGGGUGAGUAACGCGUAGGUAACCUGCCUGGUAGCGGGGGAUAACUAUUGGAAACGAUAGCUAAUACCGCAUAAGAGUAGAUGUUGCAUGACAUUUGCUUAAAAGGUGCAAUUGCAUCACUACCAGAUGGACCUGCGUUGUAUUAGCUAGUUGGUGGGGUAACGGCUCACCAAGGCGACGAUACAUAGCCGACCUGAGAGGGUGAUCGGCCACACUGGGACUGAGACACGGCCCAGACUCCUACGGGAGGCAGCAGUAGGGAAUCUUCGGCAAUGGACGGAAGUCUGACCGAGCAACGCCGCGUGAGUGAAGAAGGUUUUCGGAUCGUAAAGCUCUGUUGUAAGAGAAGAACGAGUGUGAGAGUGGAAAGUGCACACUGUGACGGUAUCUUACCAGAAAGGGACGGCUAACUACGU